AUCCAGCUGACGAGUGAUAUGUAGGACGAAACGCACGUUCUGGAU
RNAcentral lists this non-coding RNA (45 nucleotides) under Schistosoma margrebowiei. The record is from RNAcentral. Lineage: Eukaryota; Metazoa; Platyhelminthes; Trematoda; Strigeidida; Schistosomatidae.